UAUGACCUGGGCUACACACGUGCUACAAUGGAUAGAACAAAGGGCAGCGAAGCCGCGAGGUGAAGCCAAUCCCAUAAAUCUAUUCUCAGUUCGGAUUGCAGGCUGCAACUCGCCUGCAUGAAGCCGGAAUCGCUAGUAAUCGCGGAUCAGCAUGCCGCGGUGAAUACGUUCCCGGGCCUUGUACACACCGCCCGUCACACCACGAGAGUUUGUAACACCCGAAGUCGGUGGGGUAACCUUUUGGAGCCAGCCGCCUAAGGUGGGACAGAUGAUUGGGGUGAAGUCGUAACAAGGUAGCCGUAUCGGAAGGUGCGGCUGGAUCACCUCCUUUCUAAGGA
This 338-nucleotide ribosomal RNA is filed under the name Mesobacillus campisalis. RNAcentral describes it as "bacterial SSU rRNA". It matches the Rfam family "Bacterial small subunit ribosomal RNA", at positions 1203 to 1533 of the family's 1533-position model. Lineage: Bacteria; Bacillati; Bacillota; Bacilli; Caryophanales; Bacillaceae. The record is from RNAcentral.